GGUGUUUGUGAGCGCAACCGGACCCGUGUGAUCAGCUGUGACCGUGGGAAACGGACCCAGACCAGCAAAAAUCCGCAAGAAAAGCCACGUUAAACCACAUCAUGGAGUUUAAGGAUUCUUGUCUUCACGCAUCGCUCAAAGGUUCACCGGGAGCCGCGAGCUAGUAUAAAGUAAACGGCUCCUCUUCAGCGCUGUUUACUUUGCGUGUUUUUUAUAAGUUUGCCAUAUUAUCCUGGAACUCGUACUGUAACGCAUCAGCGCGCGUCCGUGUGCCUGCGGGGGAGCGGGGACGCGCAUGGAUCAAGGGUCCCGAACUGAAGCCCCCCUCAGAACUCAAUCCAGAGCUCGAACCGUCAGCCGAGAACACCCGGGGGAUGGACAGUGAGAGUCGGGCUGAACCCCUCCUCUUUAACGAGCACUUAUUUACACUGGAGUUACACGAUUUGUCGCCUUUUUAUCUUGAUUAACAAUUUUAAAUUAAACCUAUAUAAUUAUAAAAGCUGGAGAAUAGCGUUUAAGCACUUUUGGAGUUAAAUGAAUUAUUAUUAUUAUUUUUGUUACAUUUUAUUAUUAUUAUUUUACUCAGUAUUUUACCCUAAGAGUGGGUCCUGUCAGGUUAGUAUUGGAAUAAAUAAUAAUUUUUAGCGAUUUUGUGAUGAGGCGUACAGGAGGUCGGACUGCAGCGCGCGGGGGAGGACUCUCCGGUGGAAUUAUUGCGCAGUUUUUAAAAUAACGGGAUAACGGAUCACGGACUGAGACACACUCAUGGCACAGAGCAUGUCUGCGAAAGAUAACGCCUGCCGCAAAUUCCAGGCCAAUAUUUUCAACAAGAGUAAAUGCCAGAACUGCUUUAAAGCGCGAGACGCGCACCUGCUCACAGAUGAAGACGUCACGCAGGCAAAACCCAUCUAUGGUGGAUGGCUGCUCCUGGCACCUGAAGGAACAAAUUUUGACAAUCCUCUACACAGAUCACGGAAAUGGCAAAGACGCUUUUUCCUCCUGUACGAGCAUGGACUGCUGCGUUAUGCGCUGGAUGACAUGGCCAGUACUCUACCACAGGGCACUAUAAACCUGAAUCAGUGUGUGGACGUUGUGGAUGGUGAAAGCCGGACAGGACAGAAACAUUCGCUGUGUAUCUGCACACCUGACCAAGACCAUUACAUACGUGCUGAGAGUAAAGAGGUCAUACAUGGAUGGCAGGAGGCGCUGAUGGUGUUUCCUCGAACUAACAAACAGAACCAGAAGAAGAAACGGAAAGUGGAGACACCCACCCCCCAGGAUACUGCUCUGCUAACGGGUCGAUGCUCCCAGCAGAACAUGAAUGGGUGUAUCGAACCGGGUCCUGCAAAAGUGACCGUCACUAGUACGAGCAGUAGCAACAGCAGUGGUAUGGUGUGUCUGCCCAGCACUAUAGCUCACGCUGAGAGAGUGCCACCCACCCGAGCCUCUCUAUGGCAGGAGGAAACAUGGAGUCAAGCUGCUGUACCAACAACCUGUUCGUCUACCAACCUGAGCCAACAUUCAGAGGUAUCUAGAAGCUUGAGUGUUGGUCGUAAGCCUCGGGUAGAGAGUGGAUAUUUUUCACUGGAGAAAAACAAACCCAAAGAAGACGAAAGGCGACAGCAUCAACGUCAGCGCGAGCAGGAGCCCGAACCACCGCAGCAGCUUCCCACUCUUUUCUCUGCUUCCUCCUCUCGCUUCAGGUAUCUCUCCUUCGAUCCUGAACAUUACGGCUCCCCAGUCAACUCUUCACAGACCACACAAACGCCACACACUGCUGCUAACACACAGACUGCUAAACCACCGAACGCCUGUGCUAACAAACGCAACACACACCCUGACAACACACAAAGACUAGAGGAGCAUCUUUCACCUGAAACAUACACUCAUGACUACAUGGAUGCCACAUCACUGGAUUUCAAGCCCUCUUCAGACACUAAACUUGCACACACACGCCACCACACAAACAUUCUCCCAUCAUCCCUGUCAUCUUCUCGGAGCUCUUUGAACUCUGAGUUGAGUCCACCAAACUGCAGCGCUAUGCCUGGUGUGGGCGGAGCCUCGGGCAGGGCAGGGCGAGGCGGGCAGAGUUACGCGGCCUUGGCGGAUGUGCCACGGGCACGGAGACUCAGUCAUCGGGAAGCGUUCCGAUCCAAUCAUUGGCGACCGGAGCUGCGAGCGCGCACAAAGAGCCCGGGUAGGGAGGAAGUAGAACGACUAUUCGGACUGGACCGAAGGCGCUCUCAGUUCAUCGAGAGAUUUGAAUGUCACGACACCGUCGACACUCCGGAGCAAAUGGACACCACAAAUUCUUCAACAGAGCCCGCCCCUUCCUUCUCCAGAACGGCCAAUCAGAGAGCAGGACGCAAUGAGAGACGCCUCUCCAACCAGAAACAGGAGUUUUCAUUGGAUUCAAGUAAAGGCCGAACAGAUGCUGUUUCAUCACAAGCUGGUUUCAGAAGGGCCAAAAGUCUGGACCGCAGAGCCACAGAGACACUCAUGACUCCUGACCUGCUGAACUUUAAGAAAGGAUGGAUGACCAAACUAUACGAAGAUGGACUGUGGAAGAAACACUGGUUUGUUUUGACGGAUCAGAGUUUGAGGUUCUAUCGGGACUCCAUCGCUGAAGAGGCUUCCGAUUUGGACGGAGAAAUUGAUCUGUCCACAUGUUACGAUGUGACUGAAUUCCCAGUUCAGAGGAACUAUGGCUUCCAAAUCUUGAGUAAAGAGGGGGCGUUCACGCUGUCUGCGAUGACCUCUGGGAUUCGUCGCAACUGGAUUCAGGCCAUUCUUAAGAACAUGCGGCCCGCUGUUGCCCCGGAUGUCACACGGAAAAACGUAUCUCUGAAACUUUCAGUUCUUAUGCCCAGUUCUCUUCCAGAGGAGCAAAGCAGAUCAAAUGUUGAACAAAAUUUCAUCCAGCCCUCUCCAAACUCUUUACAACUCUCUAACAGCUCUGGAGUUGAAGCCAAAAGGUCACAUGAGAACAUCACAGACCCUAUUUCUCCCCCUGAGCAAUGCAAGAGUCACAUCUCCAAGCGAGAGGGACGGUCAAAAACCUUCGAUUGGGCCGAGUUUCGCCCAGGACAGGAAAAUGAGAGUAAACGACCCUCAAGGAAGAGGGCAGAUACUUCAGUCAUUACCUCCACGUCACCUCCCUCCUCCAUCUCCUCAGCUGCUUCCUCUCCCAUCUCUAGUUCCUCCUCUCCUCUGACAUCCUCCUCCAUUACUAUCAACAGCCAUACUGACAAAUUGCCACAACAAGAUGAAGAAGAAUUGGUGCAGAAUUCUAUGUGCCAGGAACACCAUCUUCAGACCACACCUACCUCGACUACGUCUGAACCCCCUUCAAAGCUCCCCUAUAAAGUGCCACAAGAACAGGUGAGAAUAGAUGGAGACCAACCCAGAGACAUGCAGGAGGUCGAUGGUCAUCAAGUGGACCGCAGAAACUCUGACGUCCAAGUAGAGAUUGAGCAGAGGUGGCAUCAGGUGGAGACCACGCCCCUAAGAGAGGAAAAGCAGGUGCCAAUCACUGGUAGCUCCACCCCUAACACCUCAAAUGCACCUGUUGGAGAGAGGCUCCUCCCACAAGAGCUUACCACCAUACUAGAAAAGGAGUUGGGUCAAGCACAAAGGGAGCUGGCCAGACUCCAACAACAGAACAGCGUUCUACAGGAACAACUUCAGGAUUCUCAUGGGAGAGAGCUGAAUGCCCGAGAAGGAUACAUACUACAGAGUGACACAACCUCUACAAAGCUUUCGUCUGAUGCAGCUUCGACCUUGGUUCACCGAGCACCAUUGAAGCGCCUCAACAAGCUAAACCAAGAUCUAAAGACUGAGCUAGAUUCCCAGCGACGGAGGCAGGAUAAGGCCCAUCAAAAAGUUAACAGCUUAAGACGUAGCUAUAGUGAAGCACAAGAUAUAAUCGGCCACCAUGAGGCUGAGAUCGAAACCUUGGAGGAAAAGCUGACAGUUGCUAUGAAGGAGAUUGUAGCGAGUGAGCAGGCAGUGGCCCGAAUGCGUAGUGAGCUGAAAAUAGAACGAGUUCGCUGUCACGAGCGCGAGGAGGAGUGGACUCGAAAUGAGGGGACUUUGCGCACACAGUUACGAGAAAGUGAGGAACGUCUUCAGCAAGUAGAAGCCAGUCUUCUAGAGAAGAGCCAGGAGUUGAGAAAGCUAGAACAACAGCAAGCUUUGCAGAAGGACCAGCACCGUGAGGUGCAAAGACUACAGGAGAGACUCACUGAGGCCACAGGACAUCUGAUUUCAAUGGAGGAGGCUCAGAGUCUGAGAGAGGAACGAGAGAGGAAAGAGCAGCGAUGCCUGGAGGAAAAACAUGAGCGGGAGCGGCAGGGAUUAACCCGGAGGUUGGCCGAGUCCGAAGAGAGGAGGCAAGAAAUAGAGGAGCAGCUGCAAGAGAUGCAGGAACAGGUGGAGGCACUGCUGAGAGGGAGUGGUGGGCUGGAAAGUGUGCGACUCAGAGAGGAGGUGCACCGUCUUCAACUGGAGUUGGAGGCACAGAUUGAUAUGUCGGAAAUGUUACGUGAGAACGUGAAGAGACUGGAGGAGGAACGUGACCAACUUAUGUACCGCUGUCAGGAACUCCUUAAUCAGAUUGCUGAGGCUGACCAGGAGGUAGGGAAACAUCAGGCACAUUUAAUGACAGUGGAAACAGACUAUCAUUCUCUUGAGAGCUCAUAUGAGCAUGUCUCCGAAGAAUUUGCUAGGAUAAGUCAGGUGCUACAAGAGAAGGAAGAGGAAGUGAAGCAGACAAAGGAGAUGUAUGAGCAGCUAAUAAGACAAAAAGAGCAGGACUUGAGUGAGGCCCUCAUUAAAAUGGGUGCCUUGGGUAGUAGUCUAGAAGAAACAGAACUUUACUUGCAGCAAAAAGAGGAACUUCUUUCUAAAAUGGAGCAUUACUAUCCAGGGCUGGUAGAGUCCCGUAGAGCAGAACAGGAGUUGCAGGCAAAAUUAGUGGUUGCAGAGGACAGGAUUGCUGAGUUGGAAGAACACCUUAACGCCUUGCGACUCGGAUAUACUGAUCUCGGGAUGAGACGUUGCCGCUCACAGGAAGACGUGCUAGAUGGUUUGAAGGAGAUGCAACUGGAUGUCUCAUCAUCCUCAAGUUCCUCCCAACUUUCGCUUGCUAGAAGUAGCUCGGAGACAGAAAUGUCCUUGGUAAAGAGGCAGAGGAUUCGCUUUUCCACCAUUCAGUGCCAAUCAUAUCACCAGUCAGACAAGUUUCAGUCAGAAAAUACAUCUUUGGAUCUGACGCAAGAUCUGAGCCUGGACCAUAUGCAUGACAUAAUCCUGUCCCGAGAUAGCAGUGUAGGCAGUGUAAGUUCAUUCCAACAGUGCAAAGAACCAGAGAAGUUCAUUUCCAUCAUACAUGCUCUGGAAGCCAAGCUGUUGGCCACCGAGGAGAAGCUCAGGCACCUCACAGAGAAGAUUCGGGAACAGCCUGAUUGUUCAGAGUUGCAGGAACAUACGAGCACUAGAUCUACCAUGGAAGACGGGAUGACUAAAACCUGUGAGGAAUUACCAAUGGAUGAACCCAAUCAGGAAUCCCUCAACACAACUUUUGUUGAGCUAGACAGUCGAGUCUUAAGUGACAAAUAUGAGAAAGCCUUGGCAUUGGUUGAGUCUUGCACAGUAAGAAUUCGAGAAAUUCUCAGCAGUCAGAAUGACACCAGCACUGCUAAAUCUCUCAUUUGCACUCUUGCAGAAGUGGAACAAUGUCUGGUUUGUGCCACCAUGCACCUGAGGCAAUGCAGCAUGUCCUAUGAGGAGUGUCAGACUUCUGAGGUCCCAGAUAUGGGUUCGAAGUCACUGAAGGAAAGUAUAGAGCGCUUUGCCAGAAUGUUGUCUUUUGAGGCUGAAGUUCUGGAGAGGAUGGGCUUCUCCCUGCAGGAGAUGAACUCUGAUAUUAUGUCAGCACUCAACUCCAUUCACAAGGAUGCAGAAAACAUAAAAAAGAGCUGUGAUGGUGGUCUCUCAAUCGUUUACGCUGAUAUACUUACUAGGAAACUUAUGCUGGAGACUAUGUUCUUAGCAGAAGUGAACAAGACAAGUGCUAAUUCAGGUAAACUAGCAAAUAGCCCCUUUUUGCAGGAUGUCAUUAAGAAUGCCUGUAUUAGUGCAGAGCUUGCGUAUUCGCUUCAGAAACUAACAAUGAAUUUCCAGGACAAAUUUGAUGAGCUUCAAAGGGACUUGGUCAAGGCAAAUGAGGCAUUGAAGCAAAGGGACGUGGCUCUGAAAGAUGCUGUUAACACAUCAAAGCAUGCUCACAUUGAAAGCAUGACUGCAAGUAAUAGUAGUGAAGGAUGUUGCACUGACGUCACACAUCCUGAACUUGCCCCCUAUAUGGAGCAGAUUGAGAUGAAAGAGGCUCAGAGUUUAGCGGCAGAGAUUGUACACCGACACUUAUUGGACAGUGCUGAAUCUGAAUCACAUCUGCAAAUGGGCUGGGACAAUCUCAUUGCUGAGCUCAAGAAGCAAGCCAAAGCCCUCCGUAGUCUCUCUCGGGAGAUUGAGAGGAUACGUGAGGACGGAGAAACUAGGUCACUCUCUGCACUUGCUGAAGCCAUCCAGACAAGCUCAUGGCACAGCGACUCUAGAAUUCUAACAUGCAGUUCAGUUUGCAUGCGAGAAGCACUGAUGCAGGCACAGGUUGCGUAUGUUGCUUGCAGGUUGAGAGCUGGUCACACAAGAGAACUGUCUCUUUGCCAAGUCACCAGCCAGAACAUGGCGGCACUGGUCCAGGAACACACUGAGAAGGUUGCAGCCAUCCAAAAGCACUACCAGAGCUGUUUAGAGAAAGAACAUCUCAGCUUCAUUGAGACUAUCAGCUCCUUGCAGGAGGAGAACGACAUGCUACGAGGAGAACUAACAUAUAAGCUGAGGGAGCUGCAGGAGCAAAGGCAGAACCUGAUCCAGUUGGAAGAGGCAUUUGAAAAGGACAAAAAGGAGCUGAAGAGCAGGCACGCUGACGAGAUGGGCAGGGCAGAGCAGGAGAAGAUAGCUCGAGAGAUGGACCUAAUGGAUCGUGUUGCUACCAGCCAACGUCGGCUGGAGGCCCUGCUGCUGGAAAUGGGAGACUCUGAGCUGAGGCACAAGGAGCAUGUCGGAAAACUGGAGCAGGAAUUUCAGGGCAAGCUCCAGCAAUUAGAACACGCCAACAGAGAGGAGCUUCAUAAGCUCCAAGAAUGCUACAGUCAGACCAUCUGCUCACUGGAAGAGAGGAGCAAUAGAUUCGAGAAAAAAGAUGAGGCUGGUGCCACGUUAAACACAGUAUGUCCUAUGGAGGAUGGAGAUGGAUCUGGUCAGGUAGUGUGCAGGGAUUCAGAGUCCCUGCUGAGAGUCCAGGAGCUGGAGAUGCAGCUGAGCAGUAUGAGAGAGGAGAUGGAACAGAAACCGCUGGAAGGAGAUCUGACCAGCCUGAAGGAGAAGUACCAGAGAGACCUGGACAGCCUCAAGGCGACAUGCGAGCGUGGAUUUGCAGCGAUGGAGGAGACUCAUCAGAAGGUGAUCGAAGACAUUCAGAGGCAGCACCAGCGAGAGAUCCAGAAACUUCUAGAGGAGAAAGAAAGACUGCUGGAGGAGGAAACCAAUGCUACUAUCGCUGCAAUUGAAGCCAUGAAAAACGCUCAUCGAGAGGAACUGGAGAAAACACAGCGGGCACAAAUGAGCGGUGUGAGUCCAGACAUCCAGGAACUGCGCAGACAGUAUGAAGAGGAGCUGCAGUCUAUCCAUCGUGAGCUGGAGGUUUUAUCCGAGCAGUAUUCCCAAAAGUGUUUAGAGAACGCACAUCUGGCUCAAGCCCUGGAGGCAGAGAGACAAGCGUUGGGGCAAUGCCAGAGAGAGAACCACAAACUACACACACACAACCAGGAACUAAAUCAUCGUCUGAAUGAAGAAAUCACUCGAAUGCGCUCCUGCGUCAGUGGAGACAAAGCAACUUUCUCGCUGACUCAGGGCAAAGACAUCUAUGAACUGGAGGUUUUGUUGCGUGUGAAGGAGUCAGAGAUACAGUACCUCAAACAGGAAAUAAACUCUCUAAAAGACGAGCUGCAGUCAGUACUUCGGGAUAAGAAGUAUGCAUCAGAUAAAUACAAAGACAUUUACACGGAGCUGAGCAUUGUGAAAGCUAAAGCUGAUUGUGACAUCAUCAAGCUGAGAGAGAAACUACUGGCUGCUACAGAAGCGCUCGGUGAAUUAGACACUGAGGGAGGAGCCGUUACCGCAGGAUACGACAUCAUGAAGUCGAAGAGUAACCCAGAUUUCCUGAAAAAAGAAAAGUCCAGACAGUUACGCGGGGUCAGGUCAAAGGCAGAGUGAAGGGUUGGUUGGGGGUAGCUGACCGCUGUGACCCCGUCUGGUUCAACAGGUGAAGCAGAGUUUGAAAGAGGGAUUGACAGUCCAGGAGCGAAUGAAACUGUUCGAAUCGAAAGACUCCAGGAAGAUAUAACAUGUCUCUCGUGCAUCUUUCUUUCUUUCUGUUGUUCCCAUUUGUAUUCUAAAUGUAUGUAUUUCUUGAUUAAGAUCUUGCUUAGACAAAAGCAGGGUAAAGAAUUAAAAGAAGUCUUUCUUUUUGGUGUUUUAAAGGAGUUUUGUGUGAAUUAAGGCAUUGCAAUGUUUCAAUAUUUACACAGACCAUUAUUUUUUGCCAACCUUCAACUCUAAUGAACCUCAUUUUGUUAUGUUUUCUUUGGUCUCUAUGAAUAUUAUGAGCAAGUUAAUGCUUCUCACCACCAGUAUACAUUGACACUUAAAACACUGCUUAUAAAGAAUGCUAAAUGUGUAUGUGUGUUUUUCUUGGAAAACUGAUUGCUGUUCUGGUCUAUUUUGGUGACAUUUGCAUGAUUUUUUGAGAGAUAAUUGUCAAAAGAGUGAUGUUAUUUUGCCAAUGAUAUUGUAAAUAUGAGUAAAGUUGGUUGUGUGCACAAGUGAUGAUGCUUUUCAGACUUUAUAGUACUUUAUUAAGACGAAAUGAUUUAGUUUAUAUAAGCUGGGUAAUUUGAGAAAACAGUGUGUGAGUGUUUUGUAGAGUGUAUAUUUGACUGUCAAAGAGUUUUUGGGUGAUUUGUAGAAUGUGCUGAAAUCAUUUACUUGAGGGGAAUCAAAUUGCUGUUUUAAUUGCUUUUGUUUUGCUUCCAUGUAUGAAAUCUAGAGCAACCAAACUUGAUAUCUACUGUCAGUCUUGCGGCAUAAAAUGUUUGUUUGGCUACUGAUAUUGAGCUUAGUAAUUACAUUUGAACAGAGGAAUUUUUAUACUGUGGAAUUGUUUGUAGUUUGUUUAAUACUGGCCUUUGCAUGAAUAUGAAGCACUUUGACAAAGUCACAAUAAUAUAUUUACGUGCUCUGAUUUUGAAACAUGUGAUUCCAUAUUCCUUCUGUUCCAGAAUUCCGAACAUAUUGAACACACAACAGAGAAAACUAACUGUAUAAUAUUCAAUACUUGCUUUGUAAAUACAGUAUUUGGUUUUAGAGAAAAUAUCUUUAUCCUGUUCUCUCGGUCUACUAGAGAAAAUUCUUUAUAUCCAUCUAUAUACAGUAUGUCUACAUUCAAUUGCCUAUCAAUAUGAAUAUUUUUAUUUUGAUGUGUGUGAAUGUGAUCUGUAAUAAAAAUGUUUUUUGAACCUA
Molecule: RNA transcript, 9642 nt
Organism: Myxocyprinus asiaticus (Chinese sucker)
Lineage: Eukaryota; Metazoa; Chordata; Actinopteri; Cypriniformes; Catostomidae
Gene name: trichohyalin-like
Exons: 27
Source: RefSeq, a predicted model, not a curated record